UACGUAGGGUGCAAGCGUUGUCCGGAAUUAUUGGGCGUAAAGAGCUCGUAGGCGGUUUGUCGCGUCUGCUGUGAAAACCCGAGGCUCAACCUCGGGCCUGCAGUGGGUACGGGCAGACUAGAGUGCGGUAGGGGAGAUUGGAAUUCCUGGUGUAGCGGUGGAAUGCACAGAUAUCAGGAGGAACACCAAUGGCGAAGGCAGAUCUCUGGGACGGUACUGACGCUGAGACGCGAAAGCGUGGGGAGCGAACAGG
This 253-nucleotide ribosomal RNA is filed under the name uncultured bacterium. RNAcentral's name for it is "partial 16S ribosomal RNA". It matches the Rfam family "Bacterial small subunit ribosomal RNA", at positions 524 to 776 of the family's 1533-position model. The record is from RNAcentral.